AAACUUUCAACAACGGAUCUCUUGGUUCUGGCAUCGAUGAAGAACGCAGCGAAAUGCGAUACGUAAUGUGAAUUGCAGAAUUCAGUGAAUCAUCGAAUCUUUGAACGCACAUUGCGCCCGCUGGUAUUCCAGCGGGCAUGCCUGUUCGAGCGUCGUUU
Molecule: ribosomal RNA, 158 nt
Filed under: Telimena bicincta
Lineage: Eukaryota; Fungi; Ascomycota; Sordariomycetes; Phyllachorales; Telimenaceae
Description: 5.8S ribosomal RNA
Rfam family: 5.8S ribosomal RNA
About the family: 5.8S ribosomal RNA (5.8S rRNA) is a component of the large subunit of the eukaryotic ribosome.
Source: RNAcentral